This is a long non-coding RNA of Vicia villosa (hairy vetch), 2032 nucleotides long. RefSeq lists it as uncharacterized. The transcript is spliced from 3 exons. The record is from RefSeq and is a predicted model, not a curated record. Lineage: Eukaryota; Viridiplantae; Streptophyta; Magnoliopsida; Fabales; Fabaceae.
AAAACUCAAUAAGUGUUAAAAACAACUUGUAAGUGAAGUAUUAAAUUUUCAAUCUUAGAGUAAUACAAUAGUAAUAUCCUAUUUGUUAUAAGCUGACCGUAGAAAAUAUGGUUAAAAUUGUUAAUUUUGUUCUUGUUAUGAUUAUUAUUUUUUCUCUAUUUUUUGUCACUACAAGCGUGGUGGAACUUAAAUGUUAUCGUGAUGAUGAUUGUCUAUCAAGUGGUUGCCCCUCUACUUUAAUACCUGUGUGUAUUUUGCAGAUGUGUAUGUGUGUUUGAAUGACUUCACAUAUGAAAUUAUGAUCAGAUCCUAUAAGAUUCCCUUAGUUAUGCUAUUGACAUUUAUAGUUUGUUUGUAUUAGUUAUUUUUUCAAAUUUUAUGGACUAUAGUAUAAAUAAGGUAUAAAUAAUAUUAUGUAAACUAUCUUCUUCUCUCUUAGUUUGGAAGAUAGCACCGUGGCCUUCAAUUUAGGCAUAUGUAUUUACUUUGCAACCUUAUUGUCUAUUAGAAUAUUUUUCAUAUAUGUGUUGAAAAUAGUUUUUGUGUUACUUUAAUAAAGUCUAUCAAUUCAUAUUUAUGGAAAACUAAAAAGUCACUACAAAAAUAUAAUAGUGUAGUAAGAUAAAUGUUCAAGUCUUAAUUACUUUUUAUUUUAGUUAUUCCACUUCAAUUUAAUAGAUUUGGUCGUGACUCUAUAAACUAACUAAUAAAUUGCUGUUAGGCUUAGUUUGCAUGUUUUAAACUCUACUUGCAAAAUUUGAUGAACUUUUACCUCGGUUAAAAUAUAGUUUUUAUCUUAGUUAGGUGAAUGAGAUAACUUAAAAUGUUAAUUGAAAGUGAUGGAACAUUUAAUUACUGUUGGAGUUGGAGAAGAUGAUUGUGUUUGAGUUGGCUGAGGACUAAGACAUUUGGUUUUUAGGGUUUUCUUGUAUGCGUGGGAGAGAACAAGAAAAUGUGGGGUGGUUUUAGUGAAAAACAAUGUACUAAAAGGGAAACAAAAAGAAAGGAAAAAAGAUGGGGUGUUUCUCUCUUUAACUUCAGGAGAGGGAAAAUUAAUGUAAAAGUGAAAUAUGAUUGUAUGAUUUAUAUUAUUACUCCGGGUAUAAGACACUUAUACUAAUGGUAUUAAUGAUUGUCACAAAAGCUAUUUGUCACAAAUUUGUUAGGCCUAAGGUAUAUAAAUUUUAAAUGUAUUCUCUCUAUUUUUUGGUAUUUUUUUUGUUUUUGUUUUUUUGCUGUUUAUUUUAUUUUUGUUGCACAUCUCUCUUUUUCUCCAUCUUCUUAUUUUUGUUUAUUUAUCAAAUUUAAUAUAACUAUUUUAAAGACCAAAAUUUUUACCCUUCCGGUGUUUCGGUGUCACUUGGCCAACAAGGUUAAAUCGUGUAUUUUCAUUUAUUUCUGGGAUGGCCUAGGGGUCAUUCCUCAUAGAUUCUUUUUAGAGACAUUACCCUAUUUGUAAUCAGGAAAAAAAAAAGAAAGAGAAGGUGGGUGAGAUAGGGUCUUGAGUUAAUGAGACUUUAAUCAGGAAAAAAAAAGAGAAGGUGGGUGAGAUAGGGUGUUGAGUUAAUAAGACUUUAAUUUGUAACUUUCAGAGGGUAAGAACUCUCUUUGAAUAUGAGUUAGAUCUAGUUAAUGACAUUCUUCUUACAUUUCAGGACUACUCUUUCUUUGGAGUCUGUUAAUGUUGGAUUCAUGCAGAUGAGGCUUUUCUUGGAAUUGGAGGGGUCGGGGGAAGUCCUAAGUAUCUCUGACCGACCUCUAUGUCAUUUUUCGGUGUGGAAUAAAACUGAAUCGCUUUGGAUCAGUUUUGAAAAAGUAAUUGUGAACAAGCGCAAUUAAUAUGGUUUCAUCAUUGAGACGCUUCUUCACUCAUUCCUAACAUGUGCGAUGAUGUGAUCAAUUAGGGUGUGUUACAAUUCAUAUAAUGCUUAAUUGUACUUAAGGUUAACAUGUUUCUAUGAGUGGAAUUCAAGUCGUUAAUCUUCUGAUCUUUGUUCAUAGUUGGUCCUGAUUUUUUAGUUGUCAUUGCUGA